RNAcentral lists this long non-coding RNA (1091 nucleotides) under Sinocyclocheilus grahami. Its description in RNAcentral is "lncRNA (ENSSGRG00000053049.1)". Lineage: Eukaryota; Metazoa; Chordata; Actinopteri; Cypriniformes; Cyprinidae. The record is from RNAcentral.
GUGCUGUAUGAAGUGGCAUACUGUCUAUAUGCACAAACUAAAGCUGACUAUCUGUGUCCACGCAGUGAAGCCGGGUCAAUGUCCCAUACCGGAGACAAUUCCACUGUGUGCUGAAAGCUGUUUCCAUGAUGGCCAGUGUCCUGCCACAUGUUGCCCAACCACCGGUGGCAUUGCAUGCCGUGAACCACGUGGUCAGGGAAGAGGUCAGGCAAGUUGUCAGGAAAGCGGCCAUGGUCCGGGAAGCAGCCAGAGAAGUGGCCAGGGAAGUGGCGAGGGAAGCGGCCAGGGAAGCGGUUAUGGCCAGGGCAGCGGCCAGGGAAGCGGUUAUGGCCAGGGAAGCGGUUAUGGCCAGGGUAGCGGCCAGGGAAAGCGGUUAUGGCCAGGGUAGUGGCCAGGGAAGCGGUUAUGGCCAGGGAAGCGGUUAUGGCCAGGGAAGCGGUUAUGGCCAGGGUAACGGCCAGGGCCAGGGAAGUGGCCAUGGUCAGGGAAGCGCCCAGGGAAGCGGUUAUGGCCAGGGUAGCGGUUAUGGCCAGGGAAGCGGCUAUGGUCAGGGAAGUGGUUAUGGUCAGGGAAGUGGUUAUGGUCAGGGAAGCAGUCAGGGUCAGGGAAGUGGUUAUGGUCAGGGGAAUGGUCAGGGAUGUGGUCAAGGAAAUGGUCAAGGAUGUGGUCAUUGAAAUCAUCAUGGGACUUCUGCAUGACUCUUACUGGAGAACUUUUCAAUUCAGUGCCUUAUUCAUAUGGCAUGCUUUCCCUGUUUGCUCAAACAGUCUAGAAAGACUUUCUCAACUUUUUGUUAUUAUUAUUAUAUAAGCCUAUAAAUGCCGAGGUCCGGAUCUCACAGAUCUCAUUCUGGGAACGGCAGUGUGUUCAACUCUGUUUUUAUACAGUCUAUGGCAGAGUUCCUCAAAUCUUGCCCUGGUGGGCCAAUGCGCUGCAGAGUUUAGCUCCAACCCUGAUCAAACUCACCUACCUGUGAUUUUCUAAUGAUCCUGAAGACAUUGAUUAGCAUGCUCAGGUGUGUUUGAUUAGGGUUAGAGCUAAACUCUGCAGGAAAGUUUAUCUCGUGGGCCAGAUUUGAGGAUCCGUGGUCU